AGUGUUAUCUAUUUCUCGUAAAGUUGAACAGACAGUAGUGACCUCCAGGUCAUUUAAAGAAGAGAACACUUUAAACGGAAAAUCACUUUAAACAGAAAAUCACUAAGAUCUAUAGACUUAAGGUGAACUAGAGUAAGAAUAAAAUGAUAAUACCAAAAAAUCUCUAACAACGUGGUUCAUACGUUUCAUAAA
This is a long non-coding RNA of Xiphophorus hellerii (green swordtail), 192 nucleotides long. RefSeq lists it as uncharacterized. The record is from RefSeq and is a predicted model, not a curated record. The transcript has 4 exons. NCBI's taxonomy places the organism in Eukaryota, Metazoa, Chordata, Actinopteri, Cyprinodontiformes, Poeciliidae.